GCCAGACUCCUACGGGAGGCAGCAGUGGGGGAUAUUGCACAAUGGGGGGAACCCUGAUGCAGCGACGCCGCGUGGGUGAAGAAGCGCCUCGGCGCGUAAAGCCCUGUCAGCAGGGAAGAAAAUGACGGUACCUGAAGAAGAAGCCCCGGCUAACUACGUGCCAGCAGCCGCGGUAAUACGUAGGGGGCAAGCGUUGUCCGGAAUGACUGGGCGUAAAGGGUGUGUAGGCGGUUUAUUAAGUUAGAAGUGAAAUACCUAGGGCUUAACCCAGGUGCUGCUUCUAAAACUGAUAGACUUGAGUGCAGUAGAGGAAAGUGGAAUUCCUAGUGUAGCGGUGGAAUGCGUAGAUAUUAGGAGGAACAUCAGUGGCGAAGGCGACUUUCUGGACUGUAACUGACGCUGAGGCACGAAAGUGUGGGGAGCAAACAGGAUUAGAUACCCCUGUAA
This 447-nucleotide ribosomal RNA is filed under the name uncultured bacterium. RNAcentral describes it as "bacterial SSU rRNA". It matches the Rfam family "Bacterial small subunit ribosomal RNA", at positions 330 to 793 of the family's 1533-position model. The record is from RNAcentral.